This 87-nucleotide transfer RNA is filed under the name Leersia perrieri. It matches the Rfam family "tRNA". From Rfam's summary of the family: Transfer RNA (tRNA) molecules are approximately 80 nucleotides in length. Their secondary structure includes four short double-helical elements and three loops (D, anti-codon, and T loops). Lineage: Eukaryota; Viridiplantae; Streptophyta; Magnoliopsida; Poales; Poaceae. The record is from Rfam by way of RNAcentral.
CCGACAUUAGCUCAGUUGGUACAGCGGAGGACUGUAGUUCGUUGCAGAUUAACCCUUAGGUCGCUGGUUCGAUUCCGGCAGGUCGGA